Molecule: long non-coding RNA, 691 nt
Filed under: Homo sapiens (human)
Lineage: Eukaryota; Metazoa; Chordata; Mammalia; Primates; Hominidae
Description: HSALNT0334413
Source: RNAcentral
UGGGCAUGCGUGCGUUAGGUGUACCUGUACACUUGCUGCUCCCCUGAUGAUUUGCUCAACAGUGUCUGCAAUUGGCAGCCAGAAGGAGUCCGCAAGAAGCAGGAGGGUUCGGACCUGAGACCGCGCCACAGGAGGAAGGCCAGGAUCUGGGAGCGCAAGACUAUCCUAAACAUCCUGCCAUUAAUUAGCUGAACAGCCCAUCUAGUAAACAAGACCGAUGGUUGAGGGGCUGGAAAAGAGGAGGAGUCAGCAAGUUGAAAGUCACAACAGACCAGCCCACUCCCUCAGAUAAAAGAAAGGCACAUCACAGUUGUCACAUCAGCAGGCUAGAAAAGCCAUCCCAUUCCUGCGGUAGGCAUUCUGUCAAAGAAAAAGAAAUCUGCAAUGAAUUAUCACAUGAAGUCAAACAAGGAAAGGAGGCAAAAAGCAAGCAGAGCCCUCUUCCUGUUUUGUAGACUCUGCUGGCUACAAUCUAAUAGAAUGCUUAAUCUGAAUAUUUCUGGUGGCAAAACUAUAGCAACCAUUCUGUCUAUUAAAAAGUCAGUGUGGUUAACAAGUGGUUAGUGAUUCUAUUUUUGGGAAGUAGCAGAUACAUAAAAUAAGACAUCCCAUUUUGUUAACUGAUUGGGCUUGGUUAGGCCAAAGAGAUGUAUUGAAUCUGUUUGUCUUUUAUAAACAUGUGUUCUCUAUU